Mustela lutreola (European mink) is the source of this 371-nucleotide long non-coding RNA. RefSeq lists it as uncharacterized. The record is from RefSeq and is a predicted model, not a curated record. Lineage: Eukaryota; Metazoa; Chordata; Mammalia; Carnivora; Mustelidae. The transcript is spliced from 3 exons.
UUGCCGAGUGCCUGCUCGGUGCUUGGGAAAAUGGACUUGAUGUGGCUACGAAGAUAAACAGUGUAGAGUUACCGUCUUCAAAAGGUGUGUCACCCUCUGGGGAAAAUUCAGAUUGGCCACUGGAUACAGUAAAAAGCAGGGUCACAGAAGGCACUGAAUGAAUGUUUCCAGGCAAGGACUCCCGUAACUCCACCUGUCUCAGCACCACAACUGAAGGACUUUGCAAGGACAAUGUAUUAGGACUGCAAAGGAAGUGCAGAGAGAGAGAGAGAGAGCACAAGCAGGCACAGGCAGAGACAGAAGCAGGGUCCCUGCUGGACAAGGAGCCUGAUGCGGGACUCAAUGACAGGACCCUGGAACCAUGACCUGAG